RNAcentral lists this ribosomal RNA (638 nucleotides) under Cortinarius traganus. RNAcentral describes it as "eukaryotic LSU rRNA". It matches the Rfam family "Eukaryotic large subunit ribosomal RNA", at positions 1 to 620 of the family's 3401-position model. The record is from RNAcentral. Lineage: Eukaryota; Fungi; Basidiomycota; Agaricomycetes; Agaricales; Cortinariaceae.
GUGACCUCAAAUCAGGUAGGACUACCCGCUGAACUUAAGCAUAUCAAUAAGCGGAGGAAAAGAAACUAACAAGGAUUCCCCUAGUAACUGCGAGUGAAGCGGGAAAAGCUCAAAUUUAAAAUCUGGCAGUCUUUUGGCUGUCCGAGUUGUAAUCUAGAGAAGUGUUAUCCGCGCUGGACCAUGUACAAGUCUCCUGGAAUGGAGCAUCAUAGAGGGUGAGAAUCCCGUCUUUGACAUGGACUUCCAGGGCUUUGUGAUGCGCUCUCAAAGAGUCGAGUUGUUUGGGAAUGCAGCUCAAAAUGGGUGGUAAAUUCCAUCUAAAGCUAAAUAUUGGCGAGAGACCGAUAGCGAACAAGUACCGUGAGGGAAAGAUGAAAAGAACUUUGGAAAGAGAGUUAAACAGUACGUGAAAUUGCUGAAAGGGAAACGCUUGAAGUCAGUCGCGUCGUCCAGGGAUCAACCUUGCUUUUGCUUGGUGCACUUCCUGGUUUGAUGGGUCAGCAUCAAUUUUGACUAUUGGAAAAAGGUUAAGGGAAUGUGGCAUCUUUGGAUGUGUUUAUAGCCCUUGGUCACAUACAAUGGUUGGGAUUGAGGAACUCAGCACGCCGCAAGGCCGGGUUUAAACCACGUACGUGCUA